Molecule: ribosomal RNA, 253 nt
Filed under: uncultured bacterium
Lineage: Bacteria
Description: partial 16S ribosomal RNA
Rfam family: Bacterial small subunit ribosomal RNA
Source: RNAcentral
GACGUAGGGGGCGAGCGUUGUCCGGAAUUACUGGGCGUAAAGCGCGUGUAGGCGGUCAGAUAAGUCUGGUGUGAAAUGCCCGGGCUCAACCCGGGCGCUGCGCUGGAAACUGUCUGACUGGAGUGCAGUAGGGAAGACUGGAAUUCCCGGUGUAGCGGUGAAAUGCGUAGAUAUCGGGAAGAACACCUGUGGCGAAGGCGGGUCUUUGGGCUGCAACUGACGCUGAGACGCGAAAGCGUGGGGAGCAAACAGG